This 528-nucleotide ribosomal RNA is filed under the name uncultured bacterium. Its description in RNAcentral is "bacterial SSU rRNA". It matches the Rfam family "Bacterial small subunit ribosomal RNA", at positions 28 to 526 of the family's 1533-position model. The record is from RNAcentral.
GACGAACGCUGGCGGCGUGCUUAACACAUGCAAGUCGAACGGACCUGAUUGAAGCUUGCUUUAUGAAAGGUUAGUGGCGAACGGGUGAGUAACACGUGGGCAACCUGCCCUUUAGCUGGGGACAACAUCCCGAAAGGGGUGCUAAUACCGAAUAAGUUCUCUUAUUUGCAUGAAUGGGAGAAGAAAGGUGGCCUCUAUUUAUAAGCUACCGCUAAAGGAUGGGCCUGCGUCUGAUUAGCUAGUUGGAGUGGUAACGGCACACCAAGGCGACGAUCAGUAGCCGGUCUGAGAGGAUGAACGGCCACACUGGGACUGAGACACGGCCCAGACUCCUACGGGAGGCAGCAGUGGGGAAUUUUCCGCAAUGGGCGAAAGCCUGACGGAGCAACGCCGCGUGAGUGAAGAAGGUUUUCGGAUUGUAAAGCUCUUUUGUUAGGGACGAAUGUGGAGGAUGUAAAUAAUGUCUUCCAAUGACGGUACCUAAAGAAAAAGCCACGGCUAACUACGUGCCAGCCGCCGCCGUAACAC